GACAGAGGGUGCAAACGUUGUUCGGAAUUACUGGGCGUAAAGCGCGUGUAGGCGGCCCGGAAAGUCGGAUGUGAAAGCCCUGGGCUUAACCUAGGAAGUGCAUUCGAAACUGCUGGGCUUGAGUUCUGGAGAGGAAGGCGGAAUUCUCGGUGUAGAGGUGAAAUUCGUAGAUAUCGAGAGGAACACCGGUGGCGAAGGCGGCCUUCUGGACAGUGACUGACGCUGAGACGCGAAAGCGUGGGGAGCAAACAGGAUUAGAUACCCUGGUAGUCCACGCCGUAAACGAUGAGUGCUAGGUGUCGCGGGCUUUGACCCCUGCGGUGCCGCAGCUAACGCAUUAAGCACUCCGCCUGGGGAGUACGGCCGCAAGGCUAAA
RNAcentral lists this ribosomal RNA (376 nucleotides) under uncultured bacterium. RNAcentral's name for it is "bacterial SSU rRNA". It matches the Rfam family "Bacterial small subunit ribosomal RNA", at positions 524 to 898 of the family's 1533-position model. The record is from RNAcentral.